CUGCAUGAGUUUGAUUUUUUAAAGGCUACUUCUCCCCAAUACCACCGCGUCUUUUUGUAGCAGUUUGUGCACCAGAGCAACGACAGUAGAGAGAUUUGGUAGGAAUUUGUUAUAAAAGUUGAAUAGUCCCAGAUUUGCCUUCAACUCUGUCACAUUUGAAGUUCAGGGUGCCUCAUUGAUCGCUUCCACCUUCUCAUGCACUGGGUGCAGUCCUGAUGCAUCCACUUUGUGACCCAAAAAUAUCACUUCCUCACUCAUGAACACACACUUGGUCCUCUUGAGCCUUAGACCGACCUCCUGUAGCUGUUUCAGCACCAUGGUCAGAGUCUGCAGGUGCUCUUAGUCGUCUUUUCCUGUCAGCAGGAUGUCAUCCAGAUAUAUGGCCACACGAGGGAUGCUCUACAGCAGUCCCUCCAUGGUCCGUUGGAAAAUAGCUGGACAUGAUGAAACGCCAAAAGGAAGCACUAUGUGAUAAGCCAGUUAUUCUGGUAGUGCUGCACCACACCCAUGACCGUGAGAAGAGCGUCAGCCCUCAUAGAGUGGAUCCCUCACAGCUGUUCAACAACAAGAUCGUCCUGAGUGUGGCAUGCCUGUUCUAUGAGGGCAAGCUUCUCGAAUGUAAACACAAUAGGAAAGAAAUCAAAAAGGUCAUAGAUCAUUUGUCACCUCCUAACAAAGCCCAAAGUUAAUUUUGUGAUGUAAAUAAUUCUCUGCAUUGGUGUUGCUAAAUGACCAAAUGAAGCGGAUGAUCUACGCGUCAAUAUACUAAUGAUAGAAGGCUUUGCAAGAAAACAUGAAUGUCUUAAUAUUGAUAUUUAUUUGCUCAUUGCUGUUGGCAAGUGAUUUGUGUUUUUUCUUGUUCGUUAUAACUGAUGAAAGAUAAUUAAACAUUAAACUGAAAUGUGUGUGCAUAUAUUAGUGCUGUCAGUUAAACACGUUAUUAACUGCGUUAACGCAAACCAAUUUUAACGGCGCUAACGCAAACCAAUUUUAACGGCGUUAAUUUUUUUUCUUUGGCUCAAAACAAAGAAGCAAUAGCCUGACUGCUAUGUUCAAGGCAGUAUGUUUGUAUGUUCAUCGUUUAAUUGCAUUAUAGGCAUUUUUUUUGUAUCGUCCUGUUUUGAUCAGUAUAUGCCAAUGUUAUCAAUAAAAAAACCUUUGCACAAGGCAA
Molecule: long non-coding RNA, 1171 nt
Organism: Gadus macrocephalus (Pacific cod)
Lineage: Eukaryota; Metazoa; Chordata; Actinopteri; Gadiformes; Gadidae
Exons: 2
Source: RefSeq, a predicted model, not a curated record